CCCGCUGAGUUUAAGCAUAUCAAUAAGCGGAGGAAAAGAAACUAACAAGGAUUCCCUUAGUAACGGCGAGCGAACCGGCAAGAGCCCAUCUUGAAAAUCGGACGUCUUCGGCGUUCGAAUUGUAGUAUGUAGAAGCGUCCUCGGCGACGGACCGGGCCCAAGUUCCCUGGAAAGGGGCACCAGAGAGGGUGAGAGCCCCGUCGUGCCAGGACCCUGUCGCACCACGAGGCGCUAUCUACGAGUCGGGUUGUUUGGGAAUGCAGCCCCAAUCGGUCGGUAAAUUCCGUCCAAGGCUAAAUAUGGGCGAGAGACCGAUAGCGAAAAAGUACCGGGAGGUAAAGAUGAAAAGGACUUUGAAAAGAGAGUCAAAGAGUGCUUGAAAUUGUCGGGAGGGAAGCGGAUGGGGGCCGGCGAUGCGUCCCGGUCUCCGUUCCGCCGAUCGAUUUGGGGCGUGGACCGAUGCAGAUUAAGCUGGUGGCCUAAGUCCGGGCUUUUGUUACGCCCGUGGAGACGUCGCUUCCUUAAUCGUGGUCUGCAGCACGCACCUCACGGCGUGCCUCGGAAUCUGCAUGCUCAGGGCAUCGGCCUUUGGGCUCCCCAUUCGACCCGUCUUGAAAGACAG
This 622-nucleotide non-coding RNA is filed under the name Brassica napus (rape). Its description in RNAcentral is "rRNA LSU_rRNA_eukarya". It matches the Rfam family "Eukaryotic large subunit ribosomal RNA", at positions 24 to 664 of the family's 3401-position model. Lineage: Eukaryota; Viridiplantae; Streptophyta; Magnoliopsida; Brassicales; Brassicaceae. The record is from Rfam by way of RNAcentral.